This 483-nucleotide ribosomal RNA is filed under the name uncultured bacterium. RNAcentral's name for it is "partial 16S ribosomal RNA". It matches the Rfam family "Bacterial small subunit ribosomal RNA", at positions 28 to 523 of the family's 1533-position model. The record is from RNAcentral.
GACGAACGCUGGCGGCGUGCUUAACACAUGCAAGUCGAACGAUGAAGCCGGAGCUUGCUCCGGUGGAUUAGUGGCGAACGGGUGAGUAACACGUGAGCAAUCUGCCCUUGACUCUGGGAUAACUGCGGGAAACUGUAGCUAAUACCGGAUACGACACCUUGGGGCAUCCCAGGGUGUGGAAAGAAUUUCGGUCAAGGAUGAGCUCGCGGCCUAUCAGCUAGUUGGUGAGGUAAUGGCUCACCAAGGCGACGACGGGUAGCCGGCCUGAGAGGGGGACCGGCCAGACUGGGACUGAGACACGGCCCAGACUCCUACGGGAGGCAGCAGUGGGGAAUAUUGCACAAUGGGCGCAAGCCUGAUGCAGCGACGCCGCGUGAGGGAUGAAGGUCUUCGGAUUGUAAACCUCUUUCAGUAGGGACGAAGCGAAAGUGACGGUACCUAAAGAAGAAGCACCGGCUAACUACGUGCCAGCAGCCGCCGCAG